UCGGAAUGAUUGGGCGCUAAGAGUCCGCUAGGUAGUCAUCCAAGAUCUGCUGAUUAAAGAGCGAGGCUUAACCUCGUAAAGGCAGUGGAAACUGGAAGACUAGAGUGUAGUAGGGGCAGAGGGAAUUCCUGGUGUAGCGGUGAAAUGCGUAGAGAUCAGGAAGAACACCGGUGGCGAAGGCGCUCUGCUGGGCUAUAACUGACACUGAGGGACGAAAGCUAGGGGAGCGAAUGGGAUUAGAUACCCCAGUAGUCCUAGCGGUAAACGAUGGAAACUAGGUGUGGCCUGUAUCGACCCGGGCCGUGCCGAAGCAAACGCGUUAAGUUUCCCGCCUGGGGAGUACGCACGCAAGUGUGAAACUCAAAGGAAUUGGCGGGGGAGCACA
Molecule: ribosomal RNA, 385 nt
Filed under: uncultured bacterium
Lineage: Bacteria
Description: bacterial SSU rRNA
Rfam family: Bacterial small subunit ribosomal RNA
Source: RNAcentral